Molecule: ribosomal RNA, 1224 nt
Filed under: Triticum aestivum (bread wheat)
Lineage: Eukaryota; Viridiplantae; Streptophyta; Magnoliopsida; Poales; Poaceae
Description: partial small subunit ribosomal RNA
Source: RNAcentral
AUGGCGUGGUGGUCGUCGGCGUGGUGCUUGGCUGUUUAUCUCGGCGGGAAUGUCAGCGGCGUGUGGCCUCGGUGCCAGGCAACGAGGCGGAUUUUUUGCGGAUGUGCUUCGGGUGGUGCGAGCCAGGGCUGCAUGCUGAAGGCUGAUCUAGAUAAAAGAAAUGUUGUCAGGCGUCGGCAGCAUGCUGCAUGCUUGGUGAUGGCCUGCGGCACCUUUUUGUGCCGUGUUAACAUCAUAUUCAUGUAUAGUGUAUAUUUGGCCAAUACUUGCGUUGGGCAAGCUCACUGGACAGUUAGACUUGAAGCAACCUUGAUAUCCAUUAGUAGUAUUAUUGAUGUUGAUACAGCAGCCUUCGUUUGUUUGAAGGUAGUUGUCCUGUUUGGUGUGUACAUCAAGAGACUCCUCCUGCGGAAGCCGCCAUGUGGCUGUACUCCUUCGAUUAACGUAAGCUAUAAGAAGACUCUCGAGGGUGCUUUAGCAUGUGCUUAUGCGACUCUUUCGCUGGCCAAGACCACUGUUGAGGGCGGUAGCGGCCGGAGGUCUCGGCGGCGAGCGGCCGCAGCGCGGAGGAGCGUGGUGUCCUUCGGCGGCGAUUCCACCGAUCCCCUUCGCCUCCGGUGGCUGAUUAGGUGUCGGCUUCCUGAUGGGAACACGGAUCUGUCCACAGAGGCUAGGACGAAGCGGAAUAAAGGGAUCUCUUCGGCCUCUUCCUCGUCCUGCCGGUGUGGCCUGUGUAGAUGGCGCCAGGCCGGCGAGGAGGCUGCGGCCAGUCCAGGGUCUCAUGAGCACGGGCAGGUUCCCUGGCCGUGGCUGGGUGAUUCUUCCAGCUCACAAAGGCCAUGUAUGGCGAUGGUGCUCCAGACGCCCUUGUAUGUUUGGGCUAUUUUGGUUUUACUUCCAUUUUUUGCAGAGGCUGUAGAUAGAAGAGAUCAUGAGGCUGAACAUCCUGUCCAAUCAGGUUAUGUUUGGCCAUUGGCAUGCAUAUUGAUGCGCCAUGCAUCUCCUUUCAUCAUGAUGGUCAGCGACCGGGUCUUCGCCGCCGGAGCUGUUCAGUAUCACCUACUCUCGGACUACGUCAUAGAUUUGUGCAUUGCACCAUAUCAUUUCACUAGCUGGGUGAAGCUCGGCGAGAGAGGCCCUACAGUUUACAAAUAUUCGUGGAGCUCUCACAGUGGCAGACAGAGAGAGGAGCUACUCCAGCAUUGCACGGCUGACAGCAAGUGA